This 498-nucleotide ribosomal RNA is filed under the name uncultured bacterium. RNAcentral describes it as "partial 16S ribosomal RNA". It matches the Rfam family "Bacterial small subunit ribosomal RNA", at positions 29 to 523 of the family's 1533-position model. The record is from RNAcentral.
AUUGAACGCUGGCGGCAUGCUUUACACAUGCAAGUCGAACGGUAACAGGCCGCAAGGUGCUGACGAGUGGCGAACGGGUGAGUAAUGCAUCGGAACGUGCCCAGUCGUGGGGGAUAACGCAGCGAAAGCUGCGCUAAUACCGCAUACGAUCUAUGGAUGAAAGCGGGGGACCGUAAGGCCUCGCGCGAUUGGAGCGGCCGAUGUCAGAUUAGGUAGUUGGUGGGGUAAAGGCUCACCAAGCCGACGAUCUGUAGCUGGUCUGAGAGGACGACCAGCCAAACUGGGACGGGGACACGGCCCAGACUCCUACGGGAGGCAGCAGUGGGGAAUUUUGGACAAUGGGCGCAAGCCUGAUCCAGCAAUGCCGCGUGCAGGAAGAAGGCCUUCGGGUUGUAAACUGCUUUUGUACGGAACGAAAAGGCUCUGGUUAAUACCUGGGGCUCAUGACGGUACCGUAAGAAUAAGCACCGGCUAACUACGUGCCAGCCGCCGCCGUAA